CGGGGAGUGGCGCAGCUUGGCAGCGCGUCGGCUUUGGGUGCCGAAGGCCGGGGGUUCAAAUCCCCCCUCCCCGACCA
RNAcentral lists this transfer RNA (77 nucleotides) under Actinopolymorpha pittospori. RNAcentral's name for it is "tRNA-Pro". It matches the Rfam family "tRNA". Rfam says of the family: Transfer RNA (tRNA) molecules are approximately 80 nucleotides in length. Their secondary structure includes four short double-helical elements and three loops (D, anti-codon, and T loops). The record is from RNAcentral. Lineage: Bacteria; Bacillati; Actinomycetota; Actinomycetes; Propionibacteriales; Actinopolymorphaceae.